UACGGAGGGAGCUAGCGUUGUUCGGAAUUACUGGGCGUAAAGCGCGCGUAGGCGGCUUUGUAAGUUAGAGGUGAAAGCCCGGGGCUCAACCCCGGAAUUGCCUUUAAGACUGCAUCGCUUGAAUCCGGGAGAGGUGAGUGGAAUUCCGAGUGUAGAGGUGAAAUUCGUAGAUAUUCGGAAGAACACCAGUGGCGAAGGCGGCUCACUGGCCCGGUACUGACGCUGAUGUGCGAAAGCGUGGGGAGCAAACAGG
RNAcentral lists this ribosomal RNA (253 nucleotides) under uncultured bacterium. RNAcentral's name for it is "partial 16S ribosomal RNA". It matches the Rfam family "Bacterial small subunit ribosomal RNA", at positions 524 to 776 of the family's 1533-position model. The record is from RNAcentral.